GACGAACGCUGGCGGCGUGCUUAACACAUGCAAGUCGAACGAAGAGCGAUGGAAGCUUGCUUCUAUCAAUCUUAGUGGCGAACGGGUGAGUAACGCGUAAUCAACCUGCCCUUCAGAGGGGGACAACAGUUGGAAACGACUGCUAAUACCGCAUACGAUCCAAUCUUGGCAUCGAGACUGGAUGAAAGGUGGCCUCUAUUUAUAAGCUAUCACUGAAGGAGGGGAUUGCGUCUGAUUAGCUAGUUGGAGGGGUAACGGCCCACCAAGGCGAUGAUCAGUAGCCGGUCUGAGAGGAUGAACGGCCACAUUGGGACUGAGACACGGCCCAGACUCCUACGGGAGGCAGCAGUGGGGAAUCUUCCGCAAUGGACGAAAGUCUGACGGAGCAACGCCGCGUGAGUGAUGACGGCCUUCGGGUUGUAAAGCUCUGUUAAUCGGGACGAAUGGUUCUUGUGCGAAUAGUGCGAGGAUUUGACGUACCGGAAUAGAAGCC
RNAcentral lists this ribosomal RNA (493 nucleotides) under Veillonella atypica. RNAcentral describes it as "bacterial SSU rRNA". It matches the Rfam family "Bacterial small subunit ribosomal RNA", at positions 28 to 492 of the family's 1533-position model. Lineage: Bacteria; Bacillati; Bacillota; Negativicutes; Veillonellales; Veillonellaceae. The record is from RNAcentral.